GUCCUUUUGCAGUUUGCAAGCGAGAUGAGUGAAUGUUUAUGCCCAUGUGUGAGAUGUACCUCCCUCAAACCUUGUUAAGAUGUAGGCAUAUUACCUGUCUGACA
This is a small nucleolar RNA of Saimiri boliviensis boliviensis (Bolivian squirrel monkey), 104 nucleotides long. RefSeq annotates it as small nucleolar RNA U13. The record is from RefSeq and is a predicted model, not a curated record. Lineage: Eukaryota; Metazoa; Chordata; Mammalia; Primates; Cebidae.